RNAcentral lists this long non-coding RNA (250 nucleotides) under Cyanistes caeruleus (blue tit). RNAcentral's name for it is "lncRNA (ENSCCEG00000008476.1)". Lineage: Eukaryota; Metazoa; Chordata; Aves; Passeriformes; Paridae. The record is from RNAcentral.
AACAGGCUGUUCUGUCAUCUUGCUCCUCUCCAGAACACUAACAAUUUUAACACUUAGUUAAGAAAAAGAAAUUUAAACUGCUACCAACUGCAUUUCCAGCUAAAGAUAUUAGGCAGAAGAUAGAGUUAUGAAUCUUCUGGGAUCUACUUAUCCAUUCAAACAUAGAUGCCUACUUUCACAUGGACACAGGCAGGACUUUAUGACAAUAUCAUAAAUGGAUUGAGAAAUGAAGACUAAUUCCUGUCCACUG